RNAcentral lists this transfer RNA (76 nucleotides) under Candidatus Equadaptatus faecalis. RNAcentral's name for it is "tRNA-Lys". It matches the Rfam family "tRNA". Rfam says of the family: Transfer RNA (tRNA) molecules are approximately 80 nucleotides in length. The record is from RNAcentral. Lineage: Bacteria; Thermotogati; Synergistota; Synergistia; Synergistales; Synergistaceae.
GGACUGUUAGCUCAAUUGGCAGAGCAUCUGACUCUUAAUCAGAGGGUUACAGGUUCGAUUCCUGCACAGUCCACCA